UACGUCAGCGGCAGACGGGUGAGUAACGCGUGGGAACGUACCUUUUGGUUCGGAACAACACAGGGAAACUUGUGCUAAUACCGGAUAAGCCCUUACGGGGAAAGAUUUAUCGCCGAAAGAUCGGCCCGCGUCUGAUUAGCUAGUUGGUAGGGUAAUGGCCUACCAAGGCGACGAUCAGUAGCUGGUCUGAGAGGAUGAUCAGCCACAUUGGGACUGAGACACGGCCCAAACUCCUACGGGAGGCAGCAGUGGGGAAUAUUGGACAAUGGGGGCAACCCUGAUCCAGCCAUGCCGCGUGAGUGAUGAAGGCCCUAGGGUUGUAAAGCUCUUUUGUGCGGGAAGAUAAUGACGGUACCGCAAGAAUAAGCCCCGGCUAACUUCGUGCCAGCAGCCGCGGUAAUACGAAGGGGGCUAGCGUUGCUCGGAAUCACUGGGCGUAAAGGGUGCGUAGGCGGGUCUUUAAGUCAGGGGUGAAAUCCUGGAGCUCAACUCCAGAACUGCCUUUGAUA
This 509-nucleotide ribosomal RNA is filed under the name uncultured Bradyrhizobium sp. Its description in RNAcentral is "bacterial SSU rRNA". It matches the Rfam family "Bacterial small subunit ribosomal RNA", at positions 88 to 632 of the family's 1533-position model. Lineage: Bacteria; Pseudomonadati; Pseudomonadota; Alphaproteobacteria; Hyphomicrobiales; Nitrobacteraceae. The record is from RNAcentral.